Molecule: non-coding RNA, 2374 nt
Organism: Taeniopygia guttata (zebra finch)
Lineage: Eukaryota; Metazoa; Chordata; Aves; Passeriformes; Estrildidae
Source: RefSeq, a predicted model, not a curated record
CAUGCCUCACAGCUAUUCUGGGUAUCAGGAAAGAAUCUAGCUAGAAUUAAUCUGAUUGACAUCUUGCUGACAGAAACAUCAAAAGGGCUGGAAAAGAUGUCAUAAUCUUUGGUUAUGUAAAUAUCUGAAUCAAGAUUGCUCUGAGGCAAACUGCAGAGCAGAUGAUAAUAUAGCCUUUCUAUACUACAUCAACAAUCAUUUUGACAGAUGAAUUUGAAUGCUAAUAUUUCAUGAAUACCAUUUUGGGAGGGAGGAUAGAAGAUAUUGUCUGCAGUAUGGAAACUUAUCACCAAAACACGUCUUCAUGUUGAAAUGAUACAAAAAAGCGGAGGCAAGAGACUAAAUUUGGAGUGUGACUUAGCAGUGUGGUGGCACUGGUGAUGGCUGGAUGAUGCUUCUCUGAAAUCUUUACUGUUCUCCUGCUGGUUGGGGCAAUGUUCAUCUGCUGAAGGAUGUCUUGUGUUAAUUCACAUGAAGUCCUCAACGCUACUGGUACUUCUCUUCAUCGUAAUUUUGUAACUGGUAAAAAAAAAUCGGUGAUUUUUCUAUUCACGCUGCAAUAAUCUGAGAAAUGAGCCCUUGAGGGCUCCUUAGAAGGAUUAGCUGUAUUUUACUGGAAAGAAGACAACAAGGAGUGAUCUCUGGUUUCGUGGUUUUUGGGUGGUGGUGGUUUUUUAAUUGUUGCGGUUGGAUUUUUCUUUUCCUGUGGUAGUUGAGACAUGAUUUUGCUUUGAGUUCCCUCUAAUGCUGAUUGUGAGCCACUUUCUAAGAACAGCCUGGAAGGUCUUCCAGCUCCUCUGAUUCUGCCAUUGGGACUUAUUGAAUGAUAAAGCAUUUUAAUAAGCAACUUGCAGCUGUGCAUCUCCACUUAAGCUGUUAAUGCUCAUUCUUGAUAUCCAGGCUACUUACAAAACUUGUUUUUAGCCAGAUGUUCUAGUGAGGUAAGUUCUUUUUAUACUAGAAUCUCAGCAGGAAAGAAAGGACAUUAGGAUUCCCCUAUGCUGUAUUCAGAAUCUACUGGAAUGCAUAAUUAUUGUCAAGAGUACCAUUACUUUUUAUUUUCACAGAUUUCUUUAUGUAGCACUUCAGGUCUCAGAUAUGCUGAGGGGCAAAAGAACUUAAACUAGCACUUUUGCAUUUUAUUUUUGUCAUCUGUUUCUUUCAGUCAUUGGUGCAGGUGACACCACUGGGACCUGCUGAACAGACCAGGAUAAAUGAUGGCUAUUUACAAAUAAGUGAAAGUGAGCACUUACCUGUUUGGGAGAUAAGUCACCUUGAAUGCCAUCUGUUGUUCUCAAAGGGAUGUCUGCUAUUUAUUCCUAUAGCAACUGCAUUUUGUGCCUCUGAGAGCUCUUUAAAAUCAUAUCAAUAAAGCUGCUUUGUUUUGAAUCUAUAAAGCAUCAGAGAGGUCAUUGCCCUGAUAAUACUUUCUGUCUUUUAAUGCUCAUCCAGUCAUCCUUUGAAACAACAAAUGAGGUUGGAUACCUUGCAGGGAAUAUUUUGUGAUAGGAUUGGCAUUUCCCCCCUCCCAGCUUUUAAAUAUAAAUUUUCACUGAUAUAUCAAAAUAGGUCAUGGGAGAUUUGUUAAAAAUACAACUCUUCUCCUCAGUGCACUUUUGUUACAGCCUUUCUGCAUACCUGUGUUUUGCUUGCAGGUCUAAUGUUCGUGCCCUCCAGCAGCAGGAACAUGCAGAGAGAAUGUCAAAUCUCUUGCUGCCAAAUGAUAAUGGAGAUUUUCUUUAGCUCAGGAGAGAGGUCUUUGAGGAUCCAAAUGUUUUCUCUUGAAGUCAAAGCAGGGGCAGAUUUCAGAAAGAGGGGCUGCAUCUGACACCAAAGCUGUGUUAUUUUUAGAUGUCAGUGUACAUCCCACCUCUGUAAUGACGAUUUCCCUGAGGGGCUCUGAACCCAUGCAUCACUCCACUUUUGAACAAAUGUAGUUUUACACAAGCCUGAGUUUUAUGAAAACCUGCCUCUUUCUGCCACUUCCUUUCUGGGAGAAAAAGACAAGACCUCCUGCAAGCCCCCCGCCCUCCCCAUCAUCUGCUUAGCAGGCCAUGACAGUGUGUCAGUGGUGCCAGAUCACUGCUGGAGUAAUGAGCAUGUGAAAAACUUUUCAAAUGUUGUGACUGUCAGACUUGGUGCUCAGAUUUAUUCUGCUGGCAUCUAAUCUGGAAUCAGAACACUGUAUUCCACCAAUACUACUUUAGUGUUGUUAUAAGUUAAUCAGAAGUUUCAGAUAAACAUUGAAUUAGUGUUUUUACAAGACUAUAGUCUACUUACUUGUGUGGGGGUUUAUUUUGUUUUGUUGGUUUACUUUAUGUGAUUUUUCUUGUUUUGAUAGAAGUAUGUAUGGGCUGAACUGUUUUGUUUGCUA